This 185-nucleotide long non-coding RNA is filed under the name Ictidomys tridecemlineatus (thirteen-lined ground squirrel). RNAcentral's name for it is "lncRNA (ENSSTOG00000033944.1)". The record is from RNAcentral. Lineage: Eukaryota; Metazoa; Chordata; Mammalia; Rodentia; Sciuridae.
UUACCAUGCUUUCUCCGUGUCUGUGUCUCUGUCUUUUCUUUCAGAAACACAAGCACCGAAAGCGCCAGUAAUUUGACAAGUCUGGUGGAGGGGAGGGGAAGAGCAGGCAGAAACACCAAAGGUGCAAAAUCCAGUGGCUCCAGGGCCAGGCAGGCUUUUCUUCAUGGUGGAGCUGGAGCCCAUCU